This 464-nucleotide ribosomal RNA is filed under the name uncultured Desulfobulbus sp. RNAcentral's name for it is "bacterial SSU rRNA". It matches the Rfam family "Bacterial small subunit ribosomal RNA", at positions 924 to 1382 of the family's 1533-position model. Lineage: Bacteria; Pseudomonadati; Thermodesulfobacteriota; Desulfobulbia; Desulfobulbales; Desulfobulbaceae. The record is from RNAcentral.
CACAAGCGGUGGAGUAUGUGGUUUAAUUCGAUGCAACGCGAAGAACCUUACCUGGUCUUGACAUCCCGGAGACCCUUAGGAAACUAGGGGGUGCUUCCAUCUGGAAGAAUCUGGAGACAGGUGCUGCAUGGCUGUCGUCAGCUCGUGUCGUGAGAUGUUGGGUUAAGUCCCGCAACGAGCGCAACCCUUGCCUUUAGUUGCCAGCAGUUCGGCUGGGCACUCUAAAGGGACUGCCGGUGUUAAACCGGAGGAAGGUGGGGAUGACGUCAAGUCCUCAUGGCCUUUAUGACCAGGGCUACACACGUACUACAAUGGCCGAUACAAAGGGCAGCGACACUGCGAGGUGAAGCCAAUCCCGUAAAAUCGGUCUCAGUCCGGAUUGGAGUCUGCAACUCGACUCCAUGAAGUUGGAAUCGCUAGUAAUCGUGGAUCAGCAUGCCACGGUGAAUACGUUCCCGGGCCUU